RNAcentral lists this ribosomal RNA (429 nucleotides) under Verrucomicrobiota bacterium. RNAcentral's name for it is "Verrucomicrobia bacterium partial 16S ribosomal RNA". It matches the Rfam family "Bacterial small subunit ribosomal RNA", at positions 355 to 776 of the family's 1533-position model. Lineage: Bacteria; Pseudomonadati; Verrucomicrobiota. The record is from RNAcentral.
UAGGGAAUCUUCCGCAAUGGACGAAAGUCUGACGGAGCAACGCCGCGUGAGUGAAGAAGGAUUUCGGUUCAUAAAACUCUGUUGUUAGGGAAGAAAAAAUGUAUAGUAACUAUAUACAAAAGAGACGGUACCUAACCAGAAAGCCACGGCUAACUACGUGCCAGCAGCCGCGGUAAUACGUAGGUGGCAAGCGUUGUCCGGAAUUAUUGGGCGUAAAGCGCGCGCAGGUGGUUUAGAAAGUCUGAUGUGAAAGCCCACGGCUCAACCGUGGAGGGUCAUUGGAAACUAAUAAACUUGAGUGCAGGAGAGAAAAGUGGAAUUCCUAGUGUAGCGGUGAAAUGCGUAGAGAUUAGGAGGAACACCGGUGGCGAAAGCGGCUUUUUGGCCUGCAACUGACACUGAGGCGCGAAAGCGUGGGGAGCAAACAGG